The sequence is a small nucleolar RNA, 209 nucleotides long. Its record names the gene SNORA74. It matches the Rfam family "Small nucleolar RNA SNORA74". From Rfam's summary of the family: U19 belongs to the H/ACA class of snoRNAs. snoRNAs bind a number of proteins (including dyskerin, Gar1p and Nop10p in the case of the H/ACA class) to form snoRNP complexes. This class are thought to guide the sites of modification of uridines to pseudouridines by forming direct base pairing interactions with substrate RNAs. The record is from Ensembl.
CCCAGCCGUAGUCAGCUGUCUAGGCUUACACUGUGCUUGGAUCAGUGUUACUCUGCUGGAACAGAAAGGCGCCGCCGGUCUGGCCUGGCACAGUAUCUGCUGUUCUAGUGGCUUCUGAUGCCCGGCUAUGGUAGUGCUGUGACCCCUGAGAGUGGACUACACCAGAUCAGUGUGUACACUAGGCUAGUCCUAGUCUGGGGUCAAACAAU